GAGAGGUGAGGGAUAAACCACAAUAGGAAUUCCUUUCUCGAGAUCAUAGAGAUGAUCCAAGUAUGUUCCUUUGGAAUAAGCAAGCAUAAGGCAAAAGCUAAUAAACAAAGUCUCAAAGGAGAACCUCAAAUGAAAAGCAAACAAGCUGCCAAUAGAUGUACUUACACCCAACUCCUGAAAAGCAGAACAAAAACAGAAUGCCA
This 203-nucleotide long non-coding RNA is filed under the name Lathyrus oleraceus (garden pea). RNAcentral's name for it is "Pisum sativum (pea) long non-coding RNA (PSAT_LNC015091)". The record is from RNAcentral. Lineage: Eukaryota; Viridiplantae; Streptophyta; Magnoliopsida; Fabales; Fabaceae.